This 72-nucleotide transfer RNA is filed under the name Candida gigantensis. RNAcentral describes it as "tRNA-Met". Lineage: Eukaryota; Fungi; Ascomycota; Pichiomycetes; Serinales; Debaryomycetaceae. The record is from RNAcentral.
CGCAAUGUGGUGUAGUUGGUUACAUCUAAGAGUCAUGGUCUUAGGAGGGCAGUUCGAUUCUGCCUAUUGCUA